RNAcentral lists this signal recognition particle RNA (90 nucleotides) under Providencia rettgeri. RNAcentral's name for it is "Bacterial small signal recognition particle RNA". It matches the Rfam family "Bacterial small signal recognition particle RNA". From Rfam's summary of the family: The signal recognition particle (SRP) is a universally conserved ribonucleoprotein involved in the co-translational targeting of proteins to membranes. The record is from RNAcentral. Lineage: Bacteria; Pseudomonadati; Pseudomonadota; Gammaproteobacteria; Enterobacterales; Morganellaceae.
UUGGUUCUCCCGCAACGCUAACUUGUUAACUUGGUCAGGUCCGGAAGGAAGCAGCCAUAGCAGGGGUCGUGUGUGCCGGGAUGUCGCUGG